CGGCCAGCUGACGGCCACGCGGUGGGGUCUAACGACAGCAUCAUGUGAUGUGCACUGCGUCUACUCGGACGGUCCACACUGCUGCCCGUGGCAUUCCCCUGAGACAGUAGCCCCGCCCCCAUCAUAACCAGCACACCGGCUCACAGAGAAGGGAGAGAGAAGGAGGAAGAGGAGGAGUCAGAAAGCACUCAAUAAACUGAUCAGAGAGAGGGAGGAACGUGGGAGGAAGAGAAGAGGAUCUGUGUGCUGUACUUUGUUCCUCUUAAAAGGGUGACUUUAAAGCACGCGGCGUGGUCAGGCGGUGUGGUUACAUGUGAGGGGGUGGUUGGGUCAGGCGGUGUGCUCUAUGUGUAGAGGGCGGUACUACCUGUGACUGGACCCGGAACCCGACAAGAGUUAAACAUCCUCUCAAACUGAUCGGAGCAGAAGGGGGCGGAAGACCUUAGCACUCUCUGCCUCAGAGAGAGAGAGAGAGAGAGAGAGAGAGAGAGAGCAAGGAACAAGGAGAUAAACAAGAAGAAGGAAGUGAGAAGAGAGCGAAAGUGCAGCAGUAACAGAGAGGUUAAAUGAAGGGUGGAUCAACAGAAGGGGUGAAUCUGUGCAGACGUGGAAGAAAAGGAAUAAAAGCUGGACGGAUGAUAGGUGAAAGGAGAAGUGUGUGUUCAGGGACAUAGACGGAACUGAGAUCAGCCUCAGAGAGUCACACACACACACACACACACACACACACACACACACACACACACACACACACACACACACACACAUAUAUAAACACACACACACACG
This is a long non-coding RNA of Gadus macrocephalus (Pacific cod), 789 nucleotides long. RefSeq lists it as uncharacterized. NCBI's taxonomy places the organism in Eukaryota, Metazoa, Chordata, Actinopteri, Gadiformes, Gadidae. The record is from RefSeq and is a predicted model, not a curated record. The transcript has 3 exons.